RNAcentral lists this ribosomal RNA (504 nucleotides) under uncultured bacterium. RNAcentral describes it as "partial 16S ribosomal RNA". It matches the Rfam family "Bacterial small subunit ribosomal RNA", at positions 28 to 507 of the family's 1533-position model. The record is from RNAcentral.
GACGAACGCUGGCGGCGUGCUUAACACAUGCAAGUCGAACGGUGAAGCGCUUGCCUUUUUGGUGGGUGUGGAUGAGUGGCGAACGGGUGAGUAACACGUGAGUAACCUGCCCUCUUCUUCUGGAUAACCUCAUGAAAGUGGGGCUAAUACGGGGUAUUCCGGGUCUGUCGCAUGGCGGGUUUGGGAAAGAUUGCGCCUUUGGGUGUUUUCGGUGGGGGAUGGGCUCGCGGCCUAUCAGCUUGUUGGUGGGGUGAUGGCCUACCAAGGCGGUGACGGGUAGCCGGCCUGAGAGGGUGGACGGCCACACUGGGACUGAGACACGGCCCAGACUCCUGCGGGAGGCAGCAGUGGGGAAUAUUGCACAAUGGGCGCAAGCCUGAUGCAGCGACGCCGCGUGAGGGAGGGAGGCCUUCGGGUUGUGAACCUCUUUCGCCAGUGAAGCAGGCCUGCUCCUGUGUGGGUGGGUUGACGGUAGCUGGAUAAGAAGCGCCGGCUAACUACGUG